UAUAUCAAGGCAGGUUGCAGUUU
RNAcentral lists this unclassified non-coding RNA (23 nucleotides) under Mus musculus (house mouse). RNAcentral describes it as "oocyte_clustered_small_RNA1436". The record is from RNAcentral. Lineage: Eukaryota; Metazoa; Chordata; Mammalia; Rodentia; Muridae.